GGAAUAUUGGACAAUGGGCGAAAGCCUGAUCCAGCCAUGCCGCGUGUGUGAAGAAGGUCUUCGGAUUGUAAAGCACUUUAAGUUGGGAGGAAGGGCAUUAACCUAAUACGUUGGUGUCUUGACGUUACCGACAGAAUAAGCACCGGCUAACUCUGUGCCAGCAGCCGCGGUAAUACAGAGGGUGCAAGCGUUAAUCGGAAUUACUGGGCGUAAAGCGCGCGUAGGUGGUUCGUUAAGUUGGAUGUGAAAUCCCCGGGCUCAACCUGGGAACUGCAUUCAAAACUGUCGAGCUAGAGUAUGGUAGAGGGUGGUGGAAUUUCCUGUGUAGCGGUGAAAUGCGUAGAUAUAGGAAGGAACACCAGUGGCGAAGGCGACCACCUGGACUGAUACUGACACUGAGGUGCGAAAGCGUGGGGAGCAAACAGGAUUAGAUACCCGGG
This 440-nucleotide ribosomal RNA is filed under the name uncultured Pseudomonas sp. RNAcentral describes it as "bacterial SSU rRNA". It matches the Rfam family "Bacterial small subunit ribosomal RNA", at positions 358 to 790 of the family's 1533-position model. Lineage: Bacteria; Pseudomonadati; Pseudomonadota; Gammaproteobacteria; Pseudomonadales; Pseudomonadaceae. The record is from RNAcentral.